AUACGGAGGAUCCGAGCGUUAUCCGGAUUUAUUGGGUUUAAAGGGAGCGUAGGCGGACGCUUAAGUCAGUUGUGAAAGUUUGCGGCUCAACCGUAAAAUUGCAGUUGAUACUGGGUGUCUUGAGUACAGUAGAGGCAGGCGGGAUUCGUGGGGGUGCGGUGGAAUGCUUAGAUAUCACGAAGAACUCCGAUUGCGAAGGCAGCCUGCUGGACUGUAACUGACGCUGAUGCUCGAAAGUGUGGGUAUCAAACAGGAUUAGAUACCCUGGUAGUCCACACAGUAAACGAUGAAUACUCGCUGUUUGCGAUAUACAGUAAGCGGCCAAGCGAAAGCGAUAAGUAUUCCACCUGGGGAGUACGCCGGCAACGGUGAAACUUAAAGGAAUGGACGGGG
Molecule: ribosomal RNA, 393 nt
Filed under: uncultured bacterium
Lineage: Bacteria
Description: partial 16S ribosomal RNA
Rfam family: Bacterial small subunit ribosomal RNA
Source: RNAcentral